RNAcentral lists this long non-coding RNA (801 nucleotides) under Equus caballus (horse). Its description in RNAcentral is "lncRNA (ENSECAG00000051726.1)". Lineage: Eukaryota; Metazoa; Chordata; Mammalia; Perissodactyla; Equidae. The record is from RNAcentral.
CAAAAUUGCUUAAUUAGCUAAAAUGAAUCAGAUAAAAAGAUAACAGAAACCUGUGGGCUUUAUAUCUCUUCAGAGGAAAUAAAACAUUUGUUUUUCCAAAGGGAUACAGCAUCUACUCACUGUACCACAAAAAUUUCAUUGCUUUAUUUAUAAGAUCAAAGACCUAAUGCCUGUCACUAAAACAGUAGCGUUUUUUCAUUUGUAUUUUCCUUACUACCAAGCAUCAGUAAAGUGUCCAUGGUGUGCAGCAAAUGAAAAGAGGAUAUGGUAUAGUUUCUUCUUAAGGGAAAUUCUCAGUCCAACUUUGAAGAGGAUACACUGAAGGACAUGCACACAUUCAAAGAAGCCAAAUCACUAAGUAUUCCUUACCCAAACCUGGAUUUUUGCACCUUCUGAGCUUUUAGUAGAGGAGCAUUUACUGUUACAGAAAAUAAAUAUGAGAACCCAGGGAACAGACUCUGCCAACCAAAAUAUAAACUGCUUAGAGGCAGUUAGCACUUAACAUAAACAUUUUGACUUGACCUGAUGAUCUGUCUGUACUCUGAAAUCUUCAUACCUUAAACUAUGGCACAAAAUUUCCUUUUCUGGAGGAGGAAGUCAUUUGUGAAGUUGUCAUCUAUAUGUUGAAGAAAAAGCUAAUGAUUGGACUGACAAUAUCCAGUCCAGAUCAGACCUCAAUUCCAGUUGUCCAUAUAAAAAUAGACAUCUUAAAGUCCUCUUCCAAGUUAUUCUGGAUUUGGGGAUAUUUCCUGUAAUAGAAUAUGCUUAGUGAUGAAGCUUCCUGGAUCACUUUAAAACUAG